UUGGAUCACAAGCUAUUUACGAAAAUGGCACUCUCAAGCACCAAUUCUCUCCUACCCACCAAAUCCUUCCAAAUUCAAUCUCUCCCACCACCACUAAAAUCUCUUCCGACCACCACCGCCGCCACCUCCUCCACCAGAGUCAUCCAGCCAAUCUUUGCCGUCCAUUCGCCGGACCCAUCAAAAACCCCAAUUGACAAGUCGUCGUCAUCAAAACCUUCAUCCCCUGCCACCGCCGCCACCUCCACCACCACCACUCCAAAAGUCACCUCCACGACAAAAACCCCAGUUCCUAACAAAUGGAGCAUAGACAGCUGGAGAACCAAAAAGGCACUUCAACUUCCCGAAUACCCAGAUCAAACAGAGCUCGAUUCGGUGCUCCAAACCCUCGAUUCAUUCCCACCUAUUGUGUUCGCCGGCGAAGCACGCCACCUGGAGGAACGGCUCGGAGAGG
This 451-nucleotide long non-coding RNA is filed under the name Lactuca sativa (garden lettuce). RNAcentral's name for it is "long non-coding RNA (LSAT_LNC006855)". Lineage: Eukaryota; Viridiplantae; Streptophyta; Magnoliopsida; Asterales; Asteraceae. The record is from RNAcentral.